Molecule: ribosomal RNA, 542 nt
Filed under: uncultured bacterium
Lineage: Bacteria
Description: bacterial SSU rRNA
Rfam family: Bacterial small subunit ribosomal RNA
Source: RNAcentral
AAUAGAUACCCCGGUAGUCCACGCCGUAAACGGUGGGCACUAGGUGUGGGCAACAUUCCACGUUGUCCGUGCCGCAGCUAACGCAUUAAGUGCCCCGCCUGGGGAGUACGGCCGCAAGGCUAAAACUCAAAGGAAUUGACGGGGGGCCCGCACAAGCGGCGGAGCAUGUGGCUUAAUUCGACGCAACGCGAAGAACCUUACCAAGGCUUGACAUACACCGGAAACGUCUGGAGACAGGCGCCCCCUUGUGGUCGGUGUACAGGUGGUGCAUGGCUGUCGUCAGCUCGUGUCGUGAGAUGUUGGGCUAAGUCCCGCAACGAGCGCAACCCUUGUCCCGUGUUGCCAGCAGGCCCUUGUGGUGCUGGGGACUCACGGGAGACCGCCGGGGUCAACUCGGAGGAAGGUGGGGACGACGUCAAGUCAUCAUGCCCCUUAUGUCUUGGGCUGCACACGUGCUACAAUGGCCGGUACAAUGAGCUGCGAUACCGCGAGGUGGAGCGAAUCUCAAAAAGCCGGUCUCAGUUCGGAUUGGGGUCCGCAAC